Molecule: ribosomal RNA, 585 nt
Filed under: Triticum aestivum (bread wheat)
Lineage: Eukaryota; Viridiplantae; Streptophyta; Magnoliopsida; Poales; Poaceae
Description: partial small subunit ribosomal RNA
Source: RNAcentral
AUGGGGGAGCGCGGUGGGGGGAGAUCCGGAGGGUGGCGGGACAACAUGGCGCGGGGCAGAUUCGGCGGGGGACGCAAGGCUCCGCUGCCAAAUCAGCCUCGUCAUAUGGUUUGGCAGCGGCCAGAUCCACCACCACCGGCGACUGGUAGUUCGAGAUCUGGCGGUGGCGAGGUCGGGGACAGAUGGGAAGCCGCCGCGCGGGCCAUGAGCGGAGCGGCCAAGGAGACGACGACAGGUGCCAAGGAGCCACCUCCACAUCCCCCACCUCCACCUCCAUCGACUGGGCAAGCUGCAACCAAAAGCACCAACGAGAUCUGCAUCAACUGCUCCCUCUCAGAUUAUGUCACAUGGCCAUCCGUGCCUCGUAUUGUUCCUCUCGAGGAAGGGUCUAUGGAAGGGGGAGAAAACUGUAGCACUUAUACAGUUGAGCCCCCAUCUGGGUCACCAACUCAUGAUAAAAUGAUCUAUGAGGAAUAUGCCCCACGUAGACAGAUGCAGAAACUGGAAAAAGUAGAGGAGGUGGCCACCAACAGGAUGAGGAAGCGAGACGCUGAAGGUAUGAAAAUACCAAGCUCAAAAAACUAG